This 492-nucleotide ribosomal RNA is filed under the name uncultured bacterium. RNAcentral's name for it is "partial 16S ribosomal RNA". It matches the Rfam family "Bacterial small subunit ribosomal RNA", at positions 29 to 507 of the family's 1533-position model. The record is from RNAcentral.
AGUGAACGCUGGCGGUAGGCCUAACACAUGCAAGUCGAACGGCAGCACAGUAAGAGCUUGCUCUUACGGGUGGCGAGUGGCGGACGGGUGAGGAAUACAUCGGAAUCUACUUUUUCGUGGGGGAUAACGUAGGGAAACUUACGCUAAUACCGCAUACGACCUACGGGUGAAAGCAGGGGAUCUUCGGACCUUGCGCGAUUGAAUGAGCCGAUGUCGGAUUAGCGAGUUGGCGGGGUAAAGGCCCACCAAGGCGACGAUCCGUAGCUGGUCUGAGAGGAUGAUCAGCCACACUGGAACUGAGACACGGUCCAGACUCCUACGGGAGGCAGCAGUGGGGAAUAUUGGACAAUGGGCGCAAGCCUGAUCCAGCCAUACCGCGUGGGUGAAGAAGGCCUUCCGGUUGUAAAGCCCUUUUGUUGGGAAAGAAAAGCAGCAGGUUAAUACCCCGCUGUUCUGACGGUACCCAAAGUAUAAGCACCGGCUAACUUCGUG